This 3566-nucleotide long non-coding RNA is filed under the name Equus caballus (horse). RNAcentral describes it as "lncRNA (ENSECAG00000058955.1)". The record is from RNAcentral. Lineage: Eukaryota; Metazoa; Chordata; Mammalia; Perissodactyla; Equidae.
GAACACUUUAAAGCAGCUUCUGACGUUUCACCCAUGGACAUUCUAACUUAAAUAGGUCUGGCCAGUGGUGAAAUGGAGAAAUCUAUUUUCAACAAAUAGUAAGGAAAGUUAACCAUAACAAAAUGACUCCAAGAUGCCACCUGAUUUGUUGGCCAGUGAAUUUUUCAUGACAAACGUAUUUCUUUGAUCACUUGGAAUGGGCUCACAGGCCCAUUAUUAUCCUUAUUUUAAGAUUGUAGAACACACCACUUACAGACCUAUCUAUUUUUCUAGGCCCACUUGUGAAAAAGCAGUGAAGAAGAAAAGGCACUCUCAUUAAGUACUAAAUCAGAGCAGUCAGAGGGAGACCAAUGAGAUUUUUUCUCCAGGGUGAUAUCAGUGUGUUUCAGGGAAGGAAAACAAAUUUCAGGAGAUUGGAACUGGUGGACUGUUAGUAACAGGAAUCGUAAUAGUAAGUAUUGAGCUGUUUGCUGUGCUGGUUGUACUGAAGCUCCACUCUCACUCUCAAAGCUCUGCCUUGCACCUUUGUAGAGUGGUGAUCAUUUGUGGGAGAGUGAAAAGAAAAAGAGUGAUGGGGCUGGCCUAGUGGCUCAGCGGUUAAGUGCGCACAUUCUGCUUCGGUGGCCUGGGGUUUGCUGGUUCAGAUUCCGGGUGCAGACGUGGCACUGCUUGGCAAGCUCUGCUGUGGUAGGCAUCCCACAUAUAAAGUAGAGGAAGACGGGCACGGAUGUUAGCUCAGGGCCAGUCCUCCUCGGCAAAAAAAGGAGGAUUGGCAGCAGUUAGCUCAGGGCUAUCUUCCUCAAAAAAAAAAAAAAAAGAAAAAGGGUGAUGCAUCUCACACUGAUGUGGAUGUGGGGUGGAGAGAAGAGAGUGACUGAAGGAGGAAGGAUGAACAGAGGUAGAGAGACUUCAUUGAAAGCAGACAAUCAACGCAAGGGGAGACUAGGGAAAUAGGGCUCUUUUGAGAGUCCUGAGAUGUUGGGGUGAUGUUAAUUCAUGCUUGAGCAUUUUUUAAAUUGAUGCAGAGACUGUCCCACCAUCUUUGCUCCCUCAGUGCCAUAAAGUUUUAUGGGGACAUCCAGGCAACUGACAUUUGGGUUGUAAAGGUCCCUGUGUUUUCCUUUGUGGAAACAAGGAAGGUGUGCGUACUGUAGAGACUGUCCAACCUUGACAAGAAAAAUCCUCAAGGGAUUGAGGAGGUAGUAUGGAAGAGCAGGAAUGUGAGCAGACCUUCUGUCACUGGGGCCUGCAGUGGAGAAGAAAAGGAAGCCUACCCAUGUGGCCUCAGAAAUUGUCCUUGACACCUUUGAAGAUUCCACAGAAAGCAAUAGGCUACAUGUGCCAUCCACCCCCAAGGAAUGUGUCAAUUGACAAUGCAUUCACUAUAAAUUCAAAGAAGCCGGUAAAUGGGCUCCCGCAGCUCCUCGGAAGAGAUCUGGCUUCAGUUUGAUUCUAAGGAGUGAGGGAUUUGGCUAGGCAAAGAGGAGAAGUAAUUUAAUGAUAGCUCCUAUCUUUAAGUAUUUCCCAUGUGCCAGGCUUGUGCUAUUUUGCAUACGUUAUUUCAUUUAAUCAUUGGAAGGCUUAUUUAAAAAAUGAGCAAAAUGAAGUUUAGAGAGAUGAAAUUCGUUUUCUGAUAGGUGGUGGAGCUGAGUUUCAUAUCCAAGAACCUCUGGUGCCAAAGAGUGUUUUUAGUCACUAUACUCUGUGGUCUCUAGAGGUCAAACUGGGUGGUUUUCAGCUGGCGGCCAUACUGCCCUUCUGGAAGAUAUUUUGAAAAGUGAAGGAGGAGAGAGUUUUGGAUUGUCAUGUGUACUGGUGCUUCUCCCAGAAUUUAGUGGGAGGCUAGGGUGGGGUGGGCAGGCAGGAUUACAAAACAUUAUGCAAUAUGUGGGCAGUCCUGUACUACAAAGAAUUGCCCCAAAUGUGAAUGGUUCCUCUAUUGAGAAACACUUGAGAGAAAGAGCAUAAAUAUAGUAGAUGAGGCAGUGGGCAAUGGGAAUUACUGGUCGUAGGGUACGUAUGAGGGGUAGAAUGGAGACUUGUCUAAUCAAUGCACAGACUCAGCCUGAGGAGAAAUGUUUGUUUGCUUCUCCAACAUACCAAGUCCUUUCCCUCUUCUGCUGGUUGCUCCCUUAACCUGGGUUUUCUCUGCACAGCUCAUUCUUGUCCUUCAGAUCUUAGAGCAAAUAUAAUCUUCCUGAAGUGGGUCUUUUCAAACCACUGCCCAGUUUAUUUCAUCAUCCUUGUAUUAGUUAUCUAUUGCUGUGUAACAAAUUGCCCCAAAACCCAGCAGCUUGAAGCAGUAAGAUUUAUUGUCUGUUUCACAUUUUUCUGUGUGUCAGGAACCUGGGAGCUAGUGGUCUGGUUCAGGAUCUCUCAUGAGGUUGCACUCAAGCUGUUGUCUGGGGCUGCAAUCAUCUGAAGGGCUGUAGGAUCCACUUCAAAGACUAUUCACAUCAUUGUUGACAGGCCUUAGUUCCUUGCUGGCUGUUUGCCACAUGAGACUUUCCACAGGCUGUCUGAGUGUCCUCAAAUACAUGAGAGUUGUCUUCUCCCUCAGAAAAUCAGAGCAUGAGAGGGUGACCAAAACAGAAACCACAGUGUCCUCCAUACCUAAUCUUGAAUCUUCUGUAUUCUACUGGUUAGUCAGACCAACUCUAUACAAUGUGGGAAGGGACUACCCAAGGGUUUGACUAUCAAGAGGCAGGAUCAUUGGAGGCCAUCUUGGAGGCUGGCGACCACAGUCCUGCCUAUUUUCUUCUUAGCACUCAUCCCAAUCUUGGAUUCUCCUCUUUAUUUGUUUACUUGUUGAUUGUUGAUCUCUCCCUCAGUAGAAUGAAAGUUGUACUAAGGCACAGACACUUCCCUGGCUUACUCCUGAAUUUCCAGCCCCUAGAAGAGUGUCUGACACAAUGAAUAUUGUUGAAAGAAUGAGUAUUUUGGUGAACCACAUGGUAAAGUAUAGGAAGUCACUAACCAACCUUCAUUUCUUUUGUCUAAAUUUACUUUUAUCACAUUAGUUUGUAAUUGACUUGUAAGAUCACUGAAUGGACAAAGAGACACAAAGUGGAUGUCUAGUUGAGUUUUUUUUUUGACUUGAUAAAUUAUUUAAAAGAAUUACCUACAUGUCUUUCUUCUGCAUUUUGUCAAAUAUGUGCUCUAAUAAUCAAAAUAGUCUGGUAUAAAACGUCAUAGUUUCAAAACUGCUUUCACAUUCUACACCUCAUUUGAUCUUAAUGCUGUGUUUAAAUUGAUAGAACUUAUAUUUAUAGAUGAGGUAUUGGCGGUUUGGAGAUGUCAGUAACUCACCAAAAGGAUACGUUUAGGGGUAACAUGGGGACCUUGACAAAGCUUCCGCCUGCAAAUUAAGGACAAUGUUCCUGAGCUGAGUCUGCCUUUAUUUAAUGCUUACAUAACACUUUUCUCACAAUAAUUUUUAACAGUCCAUAUAAGAUGAUGUUCUCAGAAUAGCUAUUCUUAGAAUAACUUAUUUUCUUUCAUAUGUACGUGUACCGUUUUUUGCACACCAGGGUGAUUGUAUUAACUUAUCAUUAUAGCAUGGGCUG